RNAcentral lists this small nuclear RNA (326 nucleotides) under Nannospalax galili (Upper Galilee mountains blind mole rat). Its description in RNAcentral is "7SK RNA (ENSNGAG00000008658.1)". It matches the Rfam family "7SK RNA". From Rfam's summary of the family: 7SK was discovered as an abundant small nuclear RNA in the mid-70s but a possible function has only recently been suggested. Two independent studies have found that 7SK RNA binds the CDK9/cyclin T complex (known as elongation factor P-TEFb). P-TEFb activates transcription by phosphorylating the C-terminal domain of RNA polymerase II. The record is from Rfam by way of RNAcentral. Lineage: Eukaryota; Metazoa; Chordata; Mammalia; Rodentia; Spalacidae.
GCAUGUGAGGGGAAUCUAGAUGUAAAAUGUGUCACCUGAUUGAUUGUCAGCUUACCUGGUUGACAAGGCAAUUGUUCUUUUCCUCCUUCAUAACUCCAUGUGCAUCCCACUCAAAGCUCUGCACUCAUGGUUGGUGAAAGUAGAUGGCCUUCUCCAAUAGAGAAGGUACAUUUUUUUUUAGGAAAGGGUACACAAUUGGCUGUAUUUCCCUAUAAAAUACUCUAAACAAGUUCUCAGGACCUGUAUUUAGGAGAACAUAGAGUAGUAAAAUGUCUCGGUAAUAAAGAUCUAUCCAAAUGAGGAGGUGCUUGUGGAAGUCUGUUUUU